RNAcentral lists this transfer RNA (85 nucleotides) under Candidatus Blochmannia ocreatus (nom. nud.). RNAcentral describes it as "Candidatus Blochmannia ocreatus tRNA-Leu". It matches the Rfam family "tRNA". From Rfam's summary of the family: Transfer RNA (tRNA) molecules are approximately 80 nucleotides in length. Their secondary structure includes four short double-helical elements and three loops (D, anti-codon, and T loops). Lineage: Bacteria; Pseudomonadati; Pseudomonadota; Gammaproteobacteria; Enterobacterales; Enterobacteriaceae. The record is from RNAcentral.
ACGGGAGUGGCGAAAUUGGUAGACGCGUCAGGUUUAGAGUCUGAUACUUUAUAAAAGUAUGCGAGUUCAAGUCUCGCCUUCCGUA